Molecule: long non-coding RNA, 1281 nt
Organism: Bos taurus (domestic cattle)
Lineage: Eukaryota; Metazoa; Chordata; Mammalia; Artiodactyla; Bovidae
Source: Ensembl
GACCCAACAGCAGACAAACGGUCCUGGGGACACCCAGCAGCACUGCCAGAAUGUCCAGCGGACCCGUCCCCAGCAGUAUUCGCUGGAGAUACUUAUGGAAAAUUCACUCACAGGGAACAGACGAUGUAAACCCCUUUUCUAAACGCCGAUGCAGGUGGAAGGAUAAGAACUAGCAGAUGAGAGUGGAAAGCUCUCUCCAGGAGUCUGGAGGAUACACAGGACCCCAGGAGGGCCACAGCAUAUACAGAGGCGUGAGGUAAGAGCGGCCCAGACACAUUUUCUGCAGCUUCACAGUUUUUCCAAGGAAAAACCUGAACCAGAAAGCACAGCCUCCAGAGGACGUGGUGAUGGGGAGCCUACGUUGGAGCCUCCUUCGCGCUGUCUCUCCUGGUUGGGGGAAUGACAUCAUUGACAAGUCAUCUUCAAUUACGUCAGGAGUUUCAGGGACAGGAGAGAGAGCAACAGAAUUUAAAAGGGACUGAAAGGGGCGAUCUCUGAUGCUAAAAAGCUACAGUGGCAAUCUGCUGCUCUGAAUGGUAAUUAUCUCAACAGCCAGACAUCAAAAUCCUGUGAGAUAUCCUCUCAAGGCCCAAGGAGAAGGAGGGUAAGACUGUUUUCAUAAGGAUUUUCGGAAAUGCAAACAUAACCCACCCAUCGUGAGAAGGAAAGGAGCCCGGAAGUGCAAACAUAACCCACCCAUUGUGAGAAGGAAAGGAGCCCGGAAGUGCAAACAUAACCCACCCAUCGUGAGAAGGAAAGGAGCCCGGAAGUGCAAACAUAACCCACCCAUCGUGAGAAGGAAAGGAGCCCGGAAGUGCAAACAUAACCCACCCAUCGUGAGAAGGAAAGGAGGCCGGAAGUGCAAACAUAACCCACCCAUCGUGAGAAGGAAAGGAGCCCGGUGAUGCAAUGGGGCCAGAGGGGGCUCUUCUGCCGAGACAGGCGGCACUGGAGAAGCAGCCUGCAGCUUGGCUGUGGCUUGCAUAUUGGCUGUGGCCGCACUGGAGAAGCAGCCUGCAGCACUUGCAUGUUAGCUGUGGCCGUCGUGUUCUGGCCCAGCAGUUGUGGGAAAAGGGAAGUUCAGAGAGAAAUACACAGGACCAGGGGAAGGGGCUUGUUUCCAGCAGGAAAGUUUUUUUUUUUGUUUUUUUUUUUUAUAGCAGCACUUUGUUUUGUUGUUUUUUUCUUUUAAUGUGUUGAUUCUCACAUAUAUUUUUACAAGUAACAUUUUGGAGAAAUUUAGGAGACUCAGUAAAGCAAAGUAAAUAAUAUUUCACAAUC